RNAcentral lists this unclassified non-coding RNA (206 nucleotides) under Melitaea cinxia (Glanville fritillary). Its description in RNAcentral is "misc RNA ENSMCXG00005011401.1". The record is from RNAcentral. Lineage: Eukaryota; Metazoa; Arthropoda; Insecta; Lepidoptera; Nymphalidae.
CGACGCGCUGUACGAGACCGCGGACGCGGAGAGACUGCGCGACGCCCCGGACAGCGAGAGCUCAACAGCAGUUAGCCCGGUGGGCGAGUGAAGAGGCGGUGCCGGUGGAGCGCGACUACUUCCCCUCGCCGACCUCCCCGCCCUCGCCGCGCUCCCCGCGCUCGCCCGCCAGCUCCGGCAGCGAGCGCCCGGCCGCCUUCCCCGAG